GCAGUAGCCGCGGGAAUACGGAGGGUGCAAGCGUUAUCCGGAUUCACUGGGUUUAAAGGGUGCGUAGGCGGAUCUGUAAGUCAGUGGUGAAAUCUCCAGGCUUAACCUGGAAACUGCCGUUGAUACUAUAGGUCUUGAAUUUUGUGGAGGUUAGCGGAAUAUGUCAUGUAGCGGUGAAAUGCAUAGAUAUGACAUAGAACACCAAUUGCGAAGGCAGCUGGCUACACAACUAUUGACGCUGAGGCACGAAAGCGUGGGGAUCAAACAGGAUUAGAUACCCCCGUAGUCCCUGUCUCUUAUAC
RNAcentral lists this ribosomal RNA (302 nucleotides) under uncultured bacterium. Its description in RNAcentral is "partial 16S ribosomal RNA". It matches the Rfam family "Bacterial small subunit ribosomal RNA", at positions 508 to 807 of the family's 1533-position model. The record is from RNAcentral.